Non-coding RNA from Lactuca sativa (garden lettuce), 553 nucleotides. The record is from RefSeq and is a predicted model, not a curated record. NCBI's taxonomy places the organism in Eukaryota, Viridiplantae, Streptophyta, Magnoliopsida, Asterales, Asteraceae.
UCAACUAAUAAAUUGAUUUGCACCAUAAUUUCUUUUUAACAAAACAUGUUUAUAAGUUAUAUAGCAAUCUGUUCACAACAGAAACCAUUUCAUUUUCAUAAAAAGCCUGCUCCACUUAGCAACCUCACUGUUUCAUUAGGAAUGAUAACAUUAGGAUUCCUAACAGUAACAGGUGGAUAUGUUUUGCUAUGAACUGAUUUGUAAGAUUCAUUGACCUGAAGACUAAGGGCCCUCAUUGUUGGAAGUAUUGGAGAGUUUUUAUCAGCUGCUUUGCUGCCUCCAGAGCCAUUAGCUGUCCAAAAUGUUGUGGAUUUUUCAAAGAUGAUUGGAGCAUUAGAUGUAAAUGAAAAUCUUACACAUCUUGUGUCAGGGAUCAUUUUCUUUUGCCUCAAGAGAACAAAGACCAAGCUAGUACAACAAAAUCAAUAUUUUCUGCAAAGGAUUACAAUGAUCAUAUGGCACUUGUGUGUGAAUAUGAAGGAUGGAAAGAAGCUGAAAGAGAAGGAUAUGCUUAUAAAUAUUGCUGGAGGAAUUUCCUUUAUGCUCAAACACU